GUACGGAAGGCAGCAGUGGGGAAUCUUGCACAAUGGGGGAAACCCUGAUGCAGCGACGCCGCGUGAGCGAUGAAGCCCUUCGGGGUGUAAAGCUCUUUCGGCAGGGAAGAUGAUGACGGUACCUGCAGAAGCAGCUGCGGCUAACUACGUGCCAGCAGCCGCGGUAAUACGUAGGCAGCAAGCGUUGUUCGGAGUUACUGGGCGUAAAGGGUGCGUAGGCGGUUGUUUAAGUUUGGUGUGAAAUCUCCCGGCUCAACUGGGAGGGUGCGCCGAAUACUGAAUGACUAGAGUGCGGGAGAGGAGAGUGGAAUUCCUGGUGUAGCGGUGAAAUGCGUAGAUAUCAGGAGGAACACCGGUGGUGUAGACGGCUCUCUGGACCGUAACUGACGCUGAGGCACGAAAGCGUGGGUAGCAAACAGGAUUAGAUACCCCGGUAGC
Molecule: ribosomal RNA, 438 nt
Filed under: uncultured bacterium
Lineage: Bacteria
Description: bacterial SSU rRNA
Rfam family: Bacterial small subunit ribosomal RNA
Source: RNAcentral